This 253-nucleotide ribosomal RNA is filed under the name uncultured bacterium. RNAcentral describes it as "partial 16S ribosomal RNA". It matches the Rfam family "Bacterial small subunit ribosomal RNA", at positions 524 to 776 of the family's 1533-position model. The record is from RNAcentral.
UACGGAGGGUGCGAGCGUUGUCCGGAAUCACUGGGCGUAAAGGGCGCGUAGGCGGCCUGAUAAGUAGGGGGUGAAAUCCUGAGGCUUAACCUCAGGGCUGCCUUCUAAACUGUCAGGCUCGAGCACAGUAGAGGCAGGUGGAAUUCCCGGUGUAGCGGUGAAAUGCGUAGAGAUCGGGAGGAACACCAGAGGCGAAGGCGGCGACCUGGACAGUUACUGACACUCAACUCCGAAAGCGUGGGGAGCAAACAGG